This is a non-coding RNA of Vicugna pacos (alpaca), 134 nucleotides long. Lineage: Eukaryota; Metazoa; Chordata; Mammalia; Artiodactyla; Camelidae. The record is from Rfam.
AAGCUCCGCCAACUGCCCUUUGCUCGAAGUAAUUUUUGACGAUUUUUUUAGUGAUUUUUUGGCGUAGUCCUAGUGGCGCUAUACUCUCGACAGGUUAUCCCGUCUCUUCAGCUAGAUUGAUGAGAUCAGGCAUC